UACAGAGGUCUCAAGCGUUGUUCGGAUUCAUUGGGCGUAAAGGGUGUGUAGGUGGCGCCGUAAGUCGGGCGUGAAAUUUCGGAGCUUAACUCCGAAACUGCAUUCGAUACUGCGGUGCUUGAGGACUGGAGAGGAGACUGGAAUUUACGGUGUAGCAGUGAAAUGCGUAGAGAUCGUAAGGAAGACCAGUGGCGAAGGCGGGUCUCUGGACAGUUCCUGACACUGAGGCACGAAGGCCAGGGGAGCAAACGGG
Molecule: ribosomal RNA, 253 nt
Filed under: uncultured bacterium
Lineage: Bacteria
Description: partial 16S ribosomal RNA
Rfam family: Bacterial small subunit ribosomal RNA
Source: RNAcentral